CUACGUGCCAGCAGCCGCGGUAAUACGGAAGGUUCGGGCGUUAUCCGGAUUUAUUGGGUUUAAAGGGAGCGUAGGCCGUGGAUUAAGCGUGUUGUGAAAUGUAGAUGCUCAACAUCUGACUUGCAGCGCGAACUGGUUUACUAGAGUGUGCGCAACGUAGGCGGAAUUCGUCGUGUAGCGGUGAAAUGCUUAGAUAUGACGAAGAACUCCGAUUGCGAAGGCAGCUUACGGGAGCACAACUGACGCUGAAGCUCGAAGGUGCGGGUAUCAAACAGGAUUAGAUACCCUGGUAGUCCGCACAGUAAACGAUGGAUGCCCGCUGUUGGUCCAUUAGGGUCAGCGGCCAAGCGAAAGCAUUAAGCAUCCCACCUGGGGAGUACGCCGGCAACGGUGAAACUCAAAGGAAUUGACGGGGGCCCGCACAAGCGGAGGAACAUGUGGUUUAAUUCGAUGAUACGCGAGGAACCUUACCCGGGCUUGAAUUGCAGACGAACGAUUCAGAGAUGAAGAGG
RNAcentral lists this ribosomal RNA (512 nucleotides) under uncultured bacterium. Its description in RNAcentral is "bacterial SSU rRNA". It matches the Rfam family "Bacterial small subunit ribosomal RNA", at positions 501 to 1014 of the family's 1533-position model. The record is from RNAcentral.